CCACGAGAGUUUGUAACACCCGAAGUCGGUGGGGUAACCUUUUUGGAGCCAGCCGCCUAAGGUGGGACAGAUGAUUGGGGUGAAGUCGUAACAAGGUAGCCGUAUCGGAAGGUGCGGCUGGAUCACCUCCUUUCUAUGGAGAAUUGAUGAACGCUGUUCAUCAAUAUAAGUUUCCGUGUUUCGUUUUGUUCAGUUUUGAGAGAACUAUCUCUCAUAUAUAAAUGUAUGUUCUUUGAAAACUAGAUAACAGUGUAGCUCAUAUUUUUUAAUUUUUAGUUUGGUUAAGUUAGAAAGGGCGCACGGUGGAUGCCUUGACACUAGGA
RNAcentral lists this unclassified non-coding RNA (323 nucleotides) under Bacillus cereus. RNAcentral describes it as "partial contains 16S ribosomal RNA, 16S-23S ribosomal RNA intergenic spacer, and 23S ribosomal RNA". The stretch from base 1 to 133 matches the Rfam family "Bacterial small subunit ribosomal RNA", at positions 1402 to 1533 of the family's 1533-position model. The record is from RNAcentral. Lineage: Bacteria; Bacillati; Bacillota; Bacilli; Caryophanales; Bacillaceae.